UGGCAUUUAUAGAAGGCCAGCUCUCUCUCAGACAUUGAUUGGAUUCAGAAUCUCCCCAUGAGCCAAUGCAUCAGAAAAGGGCAUUUUCUAGAACAUUCCAGGAGGCAGAGCUAUUGCCCUUGGAGGCAAUUCCUGCUGCAUCUUCACUCUUCCAGUGGCUUGGCUACCCAGUUCAUAAAGGGGUUUACCCUUUGGCCUUGAUUCUAAAGUACCCAGGAAACCAGUGGAAACUGCUAUAAGUCUUUCUACAAAGUAGUGUAACUACCUUUCUUCUCUGAGCCUUGAUGGGAUCUCUCUUCAUCAGAACUGACAUUCAUUUUUUAAGCAUUGACAUCCUGUCUAGGUGAAGAAUGAGAAAAUGUAGAGCACAGAGUGGCUUGGCAAUGCCCAACAACCCCAAGGAGGCUGAGAGUUCAGUAACCAGCCUGGAGGUGUCUAUAUGAAGAGAAAGCAAGAAGACGUUCUGAGAGUGACUAUCUAAGACUCUCAGCUAAAUUUUGCCAUCCUACCUACAGUCACUUAUAUUUAAAUCAUUAACUCAUUUGUCAUCCUAAUUUUUAAGAAGCUUCCCAUUAGAAAUAUAACAGAAAAUGCAUUGCUAUGUAUGAAUAUGCCCAUAAGAAAAUAUACUAUUUGCUUGUUUGUCAUGUUAACAGAUCUUUCCUAUAUUUAUAUUUUAAAUUUGUGUAUAGUCAUUAUAUAUAGUGAUGUGUGUCAUAAACAUUAUUUUAAUGUAGAUAUAUCAUGUACUUUGACCAUAUUGACUCUCCACCUGCAUUUUCUCCUAUCUGUCCCACUCAUAAUUCCCUAUCAUUCUCCCAGGCAAUAUAACUUCUAUUUUUAUUACACACACACACACACACACACACACACACACAC
Molecule: long non-coding RNA, 879 nt
Organism: Mesocricetus auratus (golden hamster)
Lineage: Eukaryota; Metazoa; Chordata; Mammalia; Rodentia; Cricetidae
Exons: 3
Source: RefSeq, a predicted model, not a curated record